Molecule: unclassified non-coding RNA, 2076 nt
Filed under: Hevea brasiliensis (rubber tree)
Lineage: Eukaryota; Viridiplantae; Streptophyta; Magnoliopsida; Malpighiales; Euphorbiaceae
Source: RNAcentral
CUGGAUUCUAAGUUCAAAAAUAAACAUUUUUCGAGUCAGCGACUACGAUAUUUCCAAAACAAACUAUUUUCUUCCAAGAUUAAUUAAAAAAAAAAAAAUACAAGCCACACGAGUAAAAAAACAAAGCGUGCCUGUCUAAAGCUCUCUCACUGUACACAGUUCUUGUUAGCGGAAACUCACGGCAUGGAAUACAAAAUCCAUCCACCCAGAUUAAAAAAAAAAAAAAAUAGAAUUAACAUAAAACGACAACGUAAAAAAGAGCAAGGCAGAAGAAUCAGCCAAGUAAAUCCCGGUCUUGACACAGCUCCUUCCUGAGCCGUUGAGAGAAAAGCCUGCAAGCAUCCAUGCUCAAAUCAAUGGCCGCAGCUAACGCUACAAAAGCAGCUGCAUCCUCCGUGCAAUUCACAUGCGGUACACUUACUUGGACGCUGGGCUUACUGCACUUGCCUUCUCCUUCCACUCUAGCUGACAUUACAAACCCUCUGUACGUGCAGUAUGGCCAUAGCCCGUACCCAAAAUCCCCACUACUCCUCGGACUACACAACGGCGAAUUUGAAUUUCCCGGAGUUGAGCGCCCGUUGUAGUUGGUGCCCAGAUCUAUAAGAAAAUUUCCGCCUUUAUGCGAGCUGAGAGUAGACUCAGCCAGUACAAUGCCGGCCGCGCUCAUGCAACCGCUGGUAUCCGGGAUAAGCUCAAAGCGAUAGCCAAGUCCGUCGCUAGACCCGCGCUCGCGCCAAGCCUCGAGCCGGCCCCAUGGCUUCCAGGUGCCAUCGCCAGGACGAAGUAUGAGCCACGAGCCGGGGUUAGACCUGCUGACUCGGUCAGAGCCAGGAGAAGCCACGAAGGGCGUAACCAUUGAAGCGGCAGCUACAGGCGAGCCGGAGAGGUCGUGUACCGUUAUUGACCAUCCUUUUCGUUCCUUGCCUGGCCUCUCUCUUUCGCUCCCAAAUGAGGUGAGCCAGCUUCUAGAGCUGCUUGGCUCUGAUUGCAAUGACCUAGAUCUUUGAUUCCGGUCGCCGGUGUUUCUGAAACUGAACUUGCAAGUAAAAACCGGUUGCCUAAUGUUCCCUUGGAUCUGGAACACUUGGGGACUGCACUCUGGCUCGCCAUCGAACUGAAACACAAAUCUCGGAUCGGGCUCUGCCUUCACAUUCAAAUGAAACUGAGCAGAGGAUCCUUUAUUAGCUUCUUUCCCAACAGAAAUCCACCCAUUGUGGAACACACAAGCCCUAGACUCAGUUCCCGCGAGAUCCAACGGCACGGAAACUUUCCCCAACAGCCUUCCAGAGUUAACGCCACAUGUGGUGCCACGACGCCCAGUGUAGAUAGAGAUUUUAAGGCAGAGCUUCCCGGCAAAAAUAGAUUUUGCAACUAAGCGUUCGAGAUCAGACUUACUAAGAUGAAAGGUAGCGGCAAGCGUUUGAGCCUGUCCCUCGGGGAACUGAUUGUUCUCAGGGGGAAUGUAGGGGACGACUGCCGUUUGGAGCGUGAAGUUCUUGAGCUUAAUUUUACAGAAACACGGCGACGAAGAGGGGUGAACAACAGAGCGAGCAGGCUUAGAAGCAACGGGGAUUUUGAGCGCGAGAUUGCCAACGGUGAGGCGCACGAAAGGGCAGGGAUCCAUAAUUAACUCAACUCACAGGGUCUGCUCUCUGCCCUUUCUAUCCUGUUAGGUUUUUUGAAAAGCGAGAGACCCAACCCAAUCCAACCCAACCCAACCAAAACCCAAACUACGAGUGAGCGUUAUAGAGAGAGAGAGAGAGAGAGUAGAGUUUAAAGUUGGUUAAAAAGAUGAAGAAGAGAGAGGAGCAACAGAAACAGGCUGGAGAACAUGGGGAAGCGUGCAGGAAACAGUGGAGGAAGAGAAUGGGUGCAGAGGCGGUGCGCAAUGCGCAUCAGUAGUGUCAGCGUUAGGAAACAACACUUGUUCCGGCAGAAGUAGCACUAAUAGAGGCAUUACCUUGGUCGUUUUCUAAAUUUUGGUCUUGGGAUUCUGUAACCGAAUAUCAAAACAACUCUCUAUUUCUCUCAGCAUGAGAGACCUAUCAUGGAGUUUCUCUCUCUAGGGGAUAGUAC